AUAAAUCCAGUUUAAAUCCUUAUGCUUACAUGCCGUUCGGAAUGGGUCCCCGUAAUUGUGUCGGAAUGCGUUUUGCAAUGGAAGAAAUUAAAAUCGCACUUUGUAUCAUCCUCAAGCAGUAUCGCUUCUUUCCCGUCCAAGAGACUCCCGACGAAAUGAAAUUUGAAGAUGGUUUGUUCGUCCAAACAGUUUGUUACCGUAGGGAACGAACUUCGCCAGUAAUGGAGUUUUGUGUUAAUAAUCUGGACAAUCAAUCGACUCCUCGCUUCUAAGCUUUGCGAAAAACUAGAAUUUGUUUGACAUUUUCGAUGUUUUUUUUUUUUUUCAAUAGUCAGAAUUUUUUAUGGGCCUUACAGCUGAAAUUAUCUGCUGGACAUGUUUAAAAUCAACUAAACGCGAGCCGAAAAUAUACGGUUGAAACUGUUCCUGCCUGUGUUCUGAACAACGAAGAAGAGGUUCUACCCAUAUUCCAGCAAGCUUGAUCCUCACAGUGAAACUAUAUUUAAUCAGCUGUACGUCUUUGACGGGCGAGUUUAUGUAGUCCGAGGCGACGUAAAAGGUGGAAUCCUGAUAGCGAUAACAAACCGAAACCUUACGGUUUCAUGCCGUUUGCUAUGGGACCGCGAUAUUGCAUCGGAGGCGGUUUGCCAUGAAAGAAAUGAAAAUUGUGCGAUGCACAAUUGUGACGAAAUUCCGUUUCUUUCCUGUGAUUUUUUCCUACACUUACACUCCUACAGAGAAGAUCCGUCUGAUUUUUGGAGAAUUUCAAGAGAUGUCGUUUUUGGCC
Daphnia magna is the source of this 787-nucleotide long non-coding RNA. RefSeq lists it as uncharacterized. The record is from RefSeq and is a predicted model, not a curated record. The transcript is spliced from 3 exons. Lineage: Eukaryota; Metazoa; Arthropoda; Branchiopoda; Diplostraca; Daphniidae.